Gallus gallus (chicken) is the source of this 21806-nucleotide long non-coding RNA. RefSeq lists it as uncharacterized. The record is from RefSeq and is a predicted model, not a curated record. Lineage: Eukaryota; Metazoa; Chordata; Aves; Galliformes; Phasianidae. The transcript is spliced from 4 exons.
GGCUUGGACUGAACAGAACAGCUGCCUGUAAUUAGCAAAAUGCAAGGAGGGUGAUUUUUGCAUAAGCACUGACCUUCCUAAUGGUCAACCCCAUGGUUAGCUCAAAGCAGGCAAGUCAGAAGUGAACAGGUUUUUUGUUCUGUUUUUUUUUGUUUGUUUGUUUUAGAGGAUCGUGUCUGCUUUGUCUUGCUGGUAAGAAGGAUCCAGCAGGACUCAUUUACUGAUUUCACUGCUUAUUGCACAUGUGUGUGAGGUACAGAGGAAACUAGAGGAGAAGGGAGAGAAGAUGCAAAUCCUUGUACUUGACAUGAAGAACAGGUGAGCUGAGAACAAACAGAUGGAGCAAACAACACAAAGAGGAUCCAGAGAGACGCUUCCCAGAGAGGUACAGUCUGGCUAACUCAUCUUGUCCACGCACAUUUCUGUACAAGACUAUGGGCUGCAAAUCAAAAUCAACAAAAGGCUUUGGGCCCUCUGGGAAGUCACAGGUUCAGACUUGAGGGAUUAACAACAGAUUAUAACUGUGAUGAUGGUGAAGAAAACAACAUUAUGGCCUUAGAAAUGCCAAACUAUCCAACUAUCCAUUUGCCUGUGCCUGAAUCUACGACUCAACGUUAACUUCCCACAGAAGCCAGCAAAGUCCAACACCACUGUAAGACUCAUCCUUCAGAAGUUUCCCAUCCUAGGCAAUUUACAUAGGAACAGGCUGGAACAAGAAAACCACGAUAUAAAGAGAAGGCAGAACAAGACCCAGACAGAUAAAGGGAAACCCAAAUAAGAACAAGCAGUGUCAGACAUGUUCUCUAGGAAUACCCAAAGCACAAGGAAGAGUUGGUGCUCAGCCGAAUACUCAAGUCAGCACCUUGCCUCAAAGCGAGGAGCAUGAAGACUUCCUCUUCCCUUCAGCGUCUGGAGCAGAGACAGCAGAGCCAGGCAGGUUUGCAAGAUUCCCCAGAAGGCUUUUAAAGGCCCAAGAACUGAAGGGUCAAAGCCGCACAUGCAAUCCUCCCACUACUGAAUCUUCGCUUGCCUGAAAGUUUCCAUUUCCUUCAGACUGGAAGCCAUGCAGUUUUGUGUAACUUCUGCCAGCUCCUCUAUGGGAGCAGAACUUCCCCAAAACAGCUCAUGGAAAUUCGUGGACUUAUCUCCCAAGUUUAUUCUUGGGACAACAAUUUGAGUGACAAGCCACCCUCAGCCACAAACCACAGCAGCCACAAAGCGUUGGACUGUGAAUUACUGCGGCUACCUUACAAUACCAUUACCACCUCCUACUGAGAUGCCACCAUUCACUUCACACAGCGCAUUCAGCGUUUUUGUAAGAAGGGAGGCGCAAUGUCACUGCAAAGGAAGAAGGUGCAAUGUCACUGCAAAGGAAGAAGGUGCAAUGUCACUGCGAAUGGAACGUGCUACAGGGCUGUCCGUUGUGAACUCGUCAAGCUCAUCUUUAUUUUAGGCAGUCUCAGCAGGGAAUUCAGCAGGCUCAUCGCUCUCCACUCUCAUACAGCUCAUGGGGACAGGCUCACUCAUCUGGACUGCAGGUCACAGCAAAACCUUAAUUUAGCUUCCCUGAGACUGUGGCAACUCUCUGUCCAGAUUUGGUAAAUGUCCUCAAUCUUUGAAUCUCGGGUUUUUGACAUAGCUUUUCUGACUGCUCUGCACAAGAAGCCAAGUACACACAGUGGUAUUAUUUAGUGUGUGUCCCCCUUCACUCCUACUUAUUCAUCUCAAAAGUUAAAAUGAAAAUACCCCCAAACCCACAGUGCUAUCAGGCCUUUUCAGCCAAGGACCAAAAUGUCAUCCUAACACUGCAGACUCGUGUAAUUAUCACAUUUUUUAUAGACAUACAGUUAAUCUAUUAUUGGUAUCAUCCACCACCCGUGUCAGACCAUAUUUGCCCAGUGCUCCUGCAGGGACAGGCAAUCUGUCUUAAGUUAUAAACUUAAGUCAUAAACUUAAGUUAUGAUGAGAGGCUCUUUUAUGCUGAAUGUAGAGCAGACUCACUGCAGAGCUCAGUUCUCUCCUUUUGGCUGCAAACACAUUUUGAUACACGUUUUUUGCUCCAUUUUGUAUUUCCACCACCGCUUAAAAACCAUGAAAUUUGGUUUCAAGCAAGCGAAAGUGUAGAUUUAACAGAACUCCAGGUAGAAAAUGAGGACACGCACUUCACCCAGCAAAAGAAAACCUCUCAGCUUCAAUACACAGGAGCCAAGCUAUUAAUCAGAGCCUGAAAUCCAAGCCUAGUAAGUCAUAUCGUUAUCUAAGCGCUCUUGGAGCACAAAGACAACAGAGAGUAACUGCUGGAGGUCUCCAUGGAUCAGGCUGCUCAAAAUACUUCUCCUUUCAUGCACGCCCAUAUAACUCACGGGAUAUUAUAUACCAGCAGCUCAGCGCUAAAUCAAACAUCCCCUCCUUGGCUAGAUGAACUCAGUUCCCAUUACGGUAUUUAAAUAUCAGGGCCUGUAGUUGGAUGCAAGAGUUGAACAUGAGCCCAAUACCAUACUGGGACCAGUCCAUUCAUAUGUUUCCUUGUAAACAGAAGGAAGGACUGUGCUGAUUUAUGCAUAUUUUUAUUUCCAUCUAACUGCUGAUGUCUACGCUGUUCUUCCAGUGAUUACACAAACCAUAAGGCAAAAUAUUCCAAAAAGGAUCUGCGUUUCUAUAGAUGUAAAUCUGGCAUUACAAGUACAAACACAUUUGUAAACAAUCGCUCUGAUUUCAGUUAACAUCUGCUUUCCUUCUCAGCUUUUGGAUGACCAUGCUCUUCCCCACACACUAUUUUCUUAUACUUAAUAUCACUAUUUUAAAGUUCACUUGGCAGAUAAGAAAUCAGUAAAUAAAUCCUAGCAGAAAGACAAACUGCCCUGCUUGAACAGCUCUUAGGUCAGGAUUCAUAAUACAGCUCUCAAAGCUUUUGUAUCAGAUAUCAUAUGGAAUUAUUUUACUGAACACACUGUUUUUCUGGAAAACAGUAGACAUUAAUGAAGAAGAAAGGAAAUCACUUGCAAUGACUGAUGUACUAUGGCUGAGACCUUUUUUCAACCUAGCUUGUUUAUACUUCAGGUUUAAGUUUUCUUACUGAAAUUUGAGUGUCCUUUAUCUUCCAUUACCUUUGGCAGUGGUUCUUUGGCUUUCAGUUCUGCACACCACCAGUGAAAUAGUUCAAUUUUGGCUUAUCGGAAAGUCAAAGAGGUAAGAUUCAGAACAGACAAAAGAAAAGGCAGUUCUUGCUUCUCGCUAAGUUGUUGUUUCUUCAAGGCAAGAACACACAGCACAGCAUCUGCUCCAACACAACAGAAACUCCACAGCAAGUUCAGCAGCCCUAAAUAAUACCAGCAGAAAGCCAAGAGGAAGACCUUGGACAAGAUUCACAGCUGCUGAAAACAGCUGGAAUAAAAACUUUUCCUCAAAAGCGUUUCUGAGGGUAAAAUUAAGCUUAUUUUAGUGAAUGGUGAUAGAAACGUUUAUUUUAGAGUUUGCACUUAUCCAAGCUAAAGCUCCAACAAAGCUCAAAGUACACCGAUACUCCGUAAAGAGGCAGAAAGACUGUAGCUCUGCUAUCAGCAGGGUAUUCUGUAUGCAAUUGAUUUUCUUUUCAUUAACACUCCCAUUUUGUCAUAACAAACUACUGGUAUCCAAGUAAAACAAGUUUUUUGCCUUGCGAUUUCUGGUUCUCCCUCCACACAUUUCUUAAUCAUUUAAUUCCAUAACAGCUUCCUUGUGCAAUCAGAAUUAUCUGCAUCAUCUCUGUGCCAGCCUGAUUCAAAGGAGGAGACAAAUGAGGGGUUGCCAAGAGAAGAAGGGAAAGGACCCAGAAACAGCUGGUAUUACGAAGACACACUGCAGUACUGUAGACAUCCCUGCACCACAAUUUUGCUAGAACAUCUAUUGAUCCUAGUCGAUGGAUCAGCAGCAUCUGCUGCCAUCCAGAGUGUAACCAUCUGUGCACUCAUUUCCAAACCCUAGAAUCCUAACUACUCUAGCAGGUUAGACAGUCAUUGGCAGAAUUCUGCUCACCUCCUGGCAUGAGUAGAGGCACCUCCGUGUCACAGAGGCACUCGGCCCCUCUUUCACCUCUCCCUACCCUCUCCUCCCAUUUCCCCUCCCAGCUGAGCUCAGCUGUGUCCUGAAUAUCAGUCCCUCCAGAAGUGGCUAACCAGCCUUCUUCCUCACGCAGAAGCAAGAAUUGAUAGGAAAAGUAAAUCUUCAAUAUCUCUAAUGGGUAAAAAGACAGGGGAGUGUGGAACGAAAAGAAGAAAGAAGGAAAGGACAGCAGUUUCAAAAAUUACUACACUGUGGAUCAACAUCUGGAAAGGUUUGAAUAGGUACAGUUCAGUGAAGUUCAGGAAAGUCAACAGAAAAUGCAAAGCAGGGCUUAUAAAAGAAAAUCUCAGUUGUGGUUAUAUCUGCAUCAGAGGAUUCUGCACUGAGCGCACAUGAGGAUUUUGUAAGAAACAAGCAAUAGCUUUCCCUCUUUUCAUGGAACAAGACCUGAUGAGCUCACAGAUCUAUUUCCCUGCAGUGAGAGACCCUCGUGCCUCCCUCCAUCCCAGCAUCAGUACUGACAGUAGUCAGAGACCUCUCUUUCUGUGAGACUCUGGAAAUUCACCUGUUUCAGGGCUGCCUUUGGAAAUACCCACUUUUCUGCACAUGCAUGACUAUUCCCUUGGUUGCCAGCACAAUCACAUUUGUAUCAGCUACAACUGGUUCAGUGUGCAAUAAAUCUGGUCCAGCUCUUUUCAACUCGUGCAAUGAACAACACAUGCCAUCUUAGCCUGUAUCUUCUCCGCCAGCUCUACUUUGGGGAUGAUGCUUUUUAUGAGCUGGUGUCACUGAGGGCAUCCUGUGUCCUUGUUUGCCCAGAGUACACCUGCGGUUCAGCUGGCUGCUGCUUUCCCAUUAGCUCCAAUCAAUGGAGCUAAAAUGCCACAAAGAUUAUCAUCCUGGAGUACUUGAUUUUUAUUUACACUCCUAGGGCAGAUGGUUUGGAUUCCUGAAGCCAGAGCUGCACUGCUUCAGGGAGCUUCUCUCCUAGAUGAUACUAAACAUCUCAUCAUCCUGCUGGAACUGUUUGGCCUACUAAUUCCAAGUGUGUGUUUUGCCUUACUGGUUUUAGGAAAAAGGCAUUCUUUUGAGGAUGGUGGGCUAAAGCCAUCUGCUUAACAGCAUGCUUCACAUUUACUUCAAAGGAAGAGAGUCUCUGGGGAGAAGGGAGGAAUUAGACCAUCAGCUAACCUGUAAAAUCAAAAGGCAAUACAGAGUGGAGCAGCAAUCAUCUCAGCAUCAUUUUGAAGUCUUACUGAAAUUCUAGCACCUGCGCAACUCCUUCCUCACCAGGAACACCGGCUCAGGUACUCAGGCAAGGGAAGGAAACAUAAAACCCAUGCUGUGGAGGACCUUGAAACUUUGCCAGCCACUGACAUGACCAACUCACACUCAAGCCUGCCAUUUUUUCCUAUCUGGGGCAACAAUGGCUGAUUACAGACAGCAGAAAAGAUCUAAUAUUCAACUUCACCUCUACGUUAAUAAGAAUGACAAUGACAGCUACUUUUUCCCUUGUUAUGAGUGCAGUACUUGUAUACACUGUGUAUGCUAGUUUACAUCUACAAAAUACAUAUCCAGAAGCAAUGUGCUACCACCACUGACCAGUUUUUGCCUAUUUAUCAGGCAGACAGAGCCCCUCUUAAACAAAGUCAUGCUUUCUGGUAAAAUAUGAGUCAGAAAACUGACGGUCUGAAAUGUAUUAUAUAAAACAUAAGGGGAAUGUUGAAACUGCUGUCAGGUUCAAUGGGCAGGUCCAGUGUUCAUGCUUUGAAGCACUUCAACCUCUUGUUUACACACACACACACACAAAGAAACUCCAAGCUCUGAGAUUUUUUGUUCCCACACUGUCCUCCAGAUUUGCAUAGCGUUUAAUCCCAAAAGGGCAGCUUUAGAGUACCAACCAUCACCUGCACAGUUCAGCCCUUCUCAGCUAUGGAAAUAUCUUUGGCUUAAAAUCAAAAUGCUCCUAAAUGAGAUUUUUUUUUUCACAUGGUAAAUUCCUUAGACUUUUCUGUCCCUUAGCAGUUUCACGUGAAGGCACAGAACAGAAUUAGGCAAAGAAUUAAGGUGGCUUAGGUAAUUACUGCAGCACAUGCUAUCAGUUCAAGACAGAAGAUUAGUACAGCAAGCUUUUAGUUAAAGGAGGUCUUCCCCUGUACUGGGAAAGGAAUUGUCUGCUUUUUUUUCUACCUUGUCCAUCUAAAACAACAGUUAUCUGAGUAAUGUACCGUGUCAAAGUGACAGCGUACAGCUCAUAAAAACUUCCCAGAGGCACUUUUUCCUCUUACUUAAAAACUGAAGAAGUUUUAAGAUGAAGUUGAAGAGCCACUGACAGUCCAGAAUAUAGACAGCUACCCACCCUGUAGCUUUAACGGCAGCGCAAGUCUUAUAUUGAAUUACUUCCCUCUAUAUCUGGCAUCAUAAAUCACGUCACUUUUGGUCAAGAUUGAUUUCUAACAAAAACUGCCUGGUAAAGAAAAAUGUAAAGACCAUUCUUAAUCCAGAACGGCUUACUCAAGAAGCUGCAAGCAAAUCACUCAGUUAAUCAAGACAGAAGUGACCGCUCAAUGGAAACGUUUCACAUUCACUCAUACCUACUCCAAAAAGAAAAGAACGAUUCAUCAUUUUAUUUCACAGAUAAUUUUCCCUGCUAUGCCCACACCCCAUUUAUCAAACACAAAAUGUUCCAUUUUAUUAUCUUAUCUCAAACUUUGCACUGAUUAAUUUAGUAUUAACCAGCUGUGUUCUGUGAUUUUGACUUUCCUCUCAAGGGAGGUCGCUAUAGGAGAAUUUUAACUAAAAAUGUUUGUAUCAAUUCUUCAAUUUGCAUAGAAACCCUACAAGUACAGCAGGACUGCAGUGUCAGAGUGUGAAAACCAGAAGGCAAGCUGAAGCAAUGCUGCUUUUGUAUUUGUUUCACAUAAAUCAUAUCCAAAUUAAUCUUGUGAUGCCAAGGUCAUGGAUUUUGAUCACAUUAAGUUGAUAACAAACUAAGCUGUACUGCUCAACAGCUCUACUAUCUUGUAUUACCAUGGUAAUUUUGUGGUUUGUUUUCUAACAAAGAUAUCAGUGGAGGCAGGAUGACACUGUACCUUUAAAUGUACCACCCCCAUCGAUAAUCCUCAUCAAAAGCACAUUAUCAUUUCUCUUGAGAAGACGACAAUUGCAUUCCUUGCCUCCUCUUCCACUGCAGUGGCUGCUCAUCUCAGACACUUUCAGAAAUCUCUGAAAGCAGAAUUCAGACCUGAGCAGUUCAUCCUGGCCUUUGUAUGGGUGGAAAAUGCUCUCCUUUGUACUCACGUUGCUCCAGGCCCAGGCAUUUGUGACUGCUUCGCAAGGGCAUGUUACAAUGCUGACUUGUUAAAACUUUUUCAAACUCAAGACAGUUUUAAGUACCAGUCUGAUCACAGCCAAAGAAACACCGAUACCCUAGAAAUAAAAGACGUUUUCUAAAUCCUACACCGCACAUCCUUAAGUCACUUGAAUAAACCUUUUGUAACCCAACAAGCUCUACUGAAGCACCUCCCAGCUGAAAACACCAUCAAAGGUGACUAACUCAAACACGUUGCUGCUAUCUGAAACAACUCACAAGCAAAAAGAAGUGAAGUUUGAGUAGGUCAUUUCAGUCUGUGCAGUGAAUUUCUUCUAAGGAACUAAGUGACACUGCAAAGAUAAGGCUGUUUUUGUGUGUUUUUGGCUGAGUAGUUUAAGUAGCACACAUGAGUGGCUGGGGGAGCACAAUGAAAAAACCUUAAAUGUUGCUGGAAAUGAAACUUACUGACUCUGUGCAAAUGAGAAAGAUGUUAGAGGCAAGCUUGAAGAGUUCAACCAGGGAAAAAUUCAGCUCACAGACACCUGUGCACACAGCAGCCUGCAAAGUGCCCUUCGCACAGCACUGACUGGGUGGGGAGAGCUGAAGUUGCCCCAGCGAAGAAAGAGAGAAGGUAGAACAUGGCCAGCAGAGUUCAGAGCUUCACUUAGGCAGGAGGUUUUCUCCAAGUCAAGCACUUGCCAGAUUGAGAUGCAAAACUGUGCCCACAGAGUGACAACCAGAAGUGACAACAUGGGAAAAGCUGUUAGAUUAGGAUGAGAUUUAUUUUCAUUCACACAAGAUCCCUGACAUAACUGUCCCUUUGAAGACUUUCAAUGCUGGGCUUUUAAGGCUUGCCAAAGGCAUGCAGGGUAGCUGUGGAAGGGCAAAGCUCAGGUGCCAUGUGUUGCAUCCAAGCAGGUGUGCCCAACUCCUUCCUGUGGGUACUGGACCAAUAUCUGAAUUUAACUAGGCCUAACAUAUAUGUAGCUUAAUUCAGGAACACCGCUCCUUUCCCCCAGCUCAAAAACAACCUGGAAAACAACCCUAGAGGGGAGGCACCAGAGGCAGUUGGUAUCUUCCUUAACAACCAGCACUGCCAAGAAAGAUUGCUUUCUGUUAAUAUGCAUGGGAGUCUCAGUACACACUGAGGGAGGAACUAUUUAGCCCUACUUUUUAUCACACGUAUCCAAAACGUGAACUUCGAAAGGAAAUAAAACUUAUUAGUUUAUUUCCCAGCUGUCACAAACAAGGAAUGAAGUCUUGGCAAAGACACAGAAGUUUCACUCUAUGUCAGAAUGAGAUAUUAACGCGCUUCAGAAACUACUUUAGAAAAUACACUGAAAGUGGAAAAGUGAAAAACACCAUAUAUCAGGGGUGCAAGAAAGAGCAGUGAAUAUAGUAAAUAGUGAUAAAAAACUGCACUGAUUGCUUACCCAGAAGCAUCAACCAAAAACCACAAGCUUGUUCUUCCCACGUCCUCCAGAGCAUCUCUCUCUGCCUGGCACCUGCUGUCUGGCUCACACAGCUCUGCUCUCACAACUGCACCUGACCACAGUGCAUCCUUCUGUACAUCCUUCUGGAGGUACAUGACCACAUGUACACCCACUGCAUGGCCAAUUUCAGCCAUGCUGAAAGGUGGGUGUUAGGUGAAAGGGAAGCACAAAGCGUCUAAACCAAAUUUAAUAUUUGUAAAAAGCCCUUAUGUGAUUAACUCAUGGAGAAGCCUGGUUGAAAUAGGGCAAAAAAAUGUUCAAUCAAGUGGUAUUGUGAAGUAAGCAAUUAUUUUAAUUAAAUGUCUGAAAAACCCUGUAUUCUUACCAGGAAAACAAGAAAGCUUUUGCCUAGGGUGAUAGUUGAAAGUUAGAUGCAGCCUCACAUCACAAUGUACCUUCAUCCUAUAAAAGUGCUUCAGUGAAAGCCGUAUGAAUUUUCAGCUAACAGAAUAGGGCCAAAGAAACUGGAAAAAAUACCAUCCAGAAAAUAACUCCGAUCCUUGCCAGUGGGAACUCAAUGGAGGUAAAGGAGUUAUGUUUAACUGCUGCUCAGAACACCCCUUUCCCCUAAAUGUCACUUCUCUGUCACUCCCACACCUACAAGACAUCUUUCCACCUGCCAAGCAAUUGGGUGUUAAAGUAACUCCCUGCCUCCACAUCUUUCCCUGGGAUUUUUUGAGGUCACACUGUCUUCCUUGAACCCAGCCAUAAACACAAAAAUAUCCUUCUUGAAACCUAAUGCUUUGUAACCCUUGCAGUGAAAGGCAAGAGGGCUUCCUGACCUUACCACUUACAGCUAUUAACUGCAAAAUGAGUCAAUCCUCCAGGGAUCAAAGGGGUUUGACCUGUUGAAAGAAGGCCCCUAACAAAAUACUCAGCCCCAGAAAGCAGCCAUCUUCAUGCUGCAUGGUCAGAUGUGCAGCAAAGUCAUGGAGAGGUCUCUCCCUGCAUUAUGCAAUCUCUCCUCUGCACCGUCAGAGCAGACACGAUGGCUGUGUCAGCAUGCACUGCAGUGCCCAGCUGCUGGCUCUGCACUUACAGGCACUGCUGACCUCCUCACCUGCUCCUUUCCCACAGCUUACCUUCCCCCGAGCAUCUUCCCAUACCCUUCACCGUUUACUCUGCCAGCUGCACCCUAACAGUCACGUCGAUGGGCCCCCAGCUAUGCAGAGGGCAUGUUUGCAAUCGAAGCAGUAAUUAUUGCUGUGUUUAUGCUCCACGUGACCUAAAUACAUUACCUGUAGUGUUAGAGAUCUGAGGAGCAGAGAAAAGACACACUCCAACUGACUUCACUACCUGGGAUAAAUCCACUAGCUUGCUGUAUAGCUCCUGAAGACCAGAACACUAAAGGCACUCAGAUUCCCCUGCAUUUAUGGGAAAGUCCCCUGAUCACCCCUAUGUAAAAUACUGAUACCAAAAAUCACGAUAUUUUGCCAUCCUUCCUGGUAUUUUUCAAAGACUCUCAACGCUGCUCUGGCUUUGCUCUUACUGUAGUCAUCUGAAGCUAAAAGCUUUUGAAAAAUCCCACCCCAUGUGCUAAAGAGACAGAAAAGAAAUUGGAUUGAUGAAAAAUCCAACACCAGUAAUGGAAAGAGGCACACCCUUGCACUGUGCUGCAUAUGCUCUGCCAAGUAGGGCCAUUUAUUUCAAUCCUGUAGCUGUCUCCUGCUAUUUAUAACUGCUGGUUUAAUGAACUUGCAGGGUAGACACCAAGCCUGAGCCUUCCCAAACUGAUGUUUAAGUAUUCCCAUUGAAUUAAUUCCAUCUUAUUAUGGAUGGACUGCUCCACAGUUAGACUGGCAACUUCCACUCCCCACUGAAAAUCAACUGGGACAUCCUCCGCAAUAGAGGAUCUUUGCCUGAAAAGCAAUCACUACAAGCUGGGAGGUGUUAUCAGCAAUUUAAAUUAUUAUAAAUCUUACUGCCUGUGAAGAGGUAGGAAAUCCAUUUAAGAAAAGCUGAAGAGAUAACAAACGCAUUUUUAUAAAGACAUAUAAGCCACCUCACACUCAACCAUAAGACAAAGAGGAAUAACUCUGUAAGUGUCCAAGAUGUGCAUUUUGAUGCAUAGUCUCUGGCUCAGGCUGCAGGCAGGUGCACCUACAAGUUGGGCCAGAUCUACUAUAGUGAAAUCACCAAUCACUUCCCUAACACUGUGGCAUUAUUACUUCUCCAUUUUGCCCUCAAGCACUCCCGAUAAGAGGUAACUUUGUGCUGAAGAGUUGCAAAGUUUGCACCUUGUAAGGAGAGGCCUGCAACUGAAAACUUGGAAAAACCAUCCAGAAAGUAUUACUGAUGUCUCUAAUCCCAUUUUCCACAGGUGUUUUCCAAUAGACCCUCAUCCUUGUCUUUGAGGCAGUGCCAGAGACAGUCUGCUGCUUGUGCCUCAGCACAGGGUAGGCACUCAAUGGACAUGAAGGCUCACUGUGGUCCCAGAGAGACUCCUGGUCCUGCAGGCUAAGCAUGGAGGGUUCCCUAACCCACUGAGUUAAUGAGACAUACUUGCAUACUUCAGGCAAUGUGAAAUGUUUCAGGCCUCGCGUAGGCAAACUGUUUAGAAGAACAGGCAAUGAACAGAAGGGCACAAACACCUCAGAAAGUGAUGGUUCUGAAGAUCUGUGAAGCAUAAGGUGAACAGAUUGUAUCUGACCCACUGUUGGGACAGUUAGUUCUCCAGAAACAGCUGGAUGCAUGCUCAGCAGGAAUUAUGGAUGUGAUGAAGCACUUAAAAGAAUCAGGGGCACCAUGGAUUCAAUCGGGAUUUCAGGCCCCAAGGUGGGCCUUCUUAAGAUAAAGAUCAUGUUGUCAAGUGAGAGAAUGCAUCAGAAAAACAGAACAGCUUGGCCUCAAGAGAUCCCUGGCUGGUAUACUGUCAGGGGUACUGCACUAAAUUGACAAAAAUAGUUCCAAAACCAUCUCUGUGUAUGCAGAGUACCACUUUUACGUAGGCACCUACAUCCACCAGAUGACAUGAAGAACCUGAGAGGGCCAAAAUAAGUAUUCAUUAUGCAAGAAGCGAAACAAGAUGUAAAGGAAACUAAGGAUACUAAUGACAUCAAUUUUGGUGCAUCCCACAGCAGCCAGAACCAACAGAUGAACUGUUGUACUUGGAUUAAAAAUGAAAAAAGCCUCCACUUAAACAAAUCACCACGGUGAAUUCAUUCUACAAGAUUGCCUACCACAAAAUCUUUUAUAUCCCUGAGGCAUCUCGAUAAACCAAGCACAGAUUAACCACCUUUCAGAAAAUGGUGCCAACUGAUGUUAAAGGAUCUGUCAGGCUCAGACAAUGCAUUAUAAUUACAGUUCUUUCUCCAUGUAAAACAUCCUACCAAGCAUCAUUUAAAUGCAAGUAUUCAUCAGUACGAACUUCGCACAUGUUCCUAGGACUUACAUCAAGCUUCAAGAAAGCCAGAUUCUCUAGAGUUCCACCUAUCCUACCACCAGGUUAUACAGAACUCAGUUUUGAGAGAAAUAUGCCUUUUAAAUAAGAAUUGUUAAAAGCUGCUUACUAACCCGUAGCCAAGGAAGAAGCUAUGUAUAUGGGAGUAAGGGGCUGCCUGCACAGCAAAUCUGAUCCAUCCAGCCCAAACCUCACCUUCACUGUGAGAGAUGCACACCAUCCAGAAAGACAGCACAAGCCUCAAAUAGUACCUUAAUAAAAUGACUCUGCUGCAAUGGUUUUCUCUUUCAACACAGAGCUCCUCCUAACUCACAUCUGAGGUCUCAAGAGUAAUUUCUGUACUGAGACCUUCAAGAACUAUUAAUGGUGGAUGGAAGAGGAAUUUCUCUCAGCAAACUGCAAAACCUUUACCGACCUUUGAUGGAUGACAUAUCAUCCCUUCCCACUCUCUUGCUAAACGUGUCCUCUAAAAACCACACUGACAGACAGAUCCAGAUUUUCAACCUUGCUCCCCUGUUGCUGUUUUUGUGUCCUGUAAACAGAAUCAUAGUUACACCCUUCAACUGGUUUAGAAAACCGUCAGUAAGCCUAGCCCUCAUGGGACCAUAUGCACAACAGCUGCCAUUAACAGUGUAAAAUGAAAGAUGGCCUCAACUUACAGCUACUUAUCUCUCUUAAGAUUUUCCAAAAUGUAUAUUCUGCAGUUCUGUUUAUCCAUUUCUGCCAAAAAUCAGACUGUACUGUCUUCAAGGAUGCAGGUCCUAAGAAAAUACUAUUACAAACUGCAGUUUAUCAGUUUCUCAGGUGCCUCUUUAGUACUUGUUGCUUUUGAGCCCAUGUACCUCGUUGAAUCCUCUGCCAAUGCUAAGUAUCACAAUCACUUCUGAUGUGACACUGAACGAGGAAUGGUGCUCCGUAAUGCCCAUUUCCAGUACACUGCAAAUACUACAUUUCCUUUCCUCCCAUCUUAUUUUUUUAAAGCCUUAUGCUGAGUUCACACAAAUCUCUCACUUCGGCAACACUGAUUUUUUCAGAUACAAAGUAGUUUUUAAUUAGAACAGUCGGUAAGCAGUACAGAAUCACAGGGCGGCUCAACAUCCCACAACUUGUGGCAUGAAACUUUUACACUUGGCCAAUAUCAAUAACACACCAGGCAAAUCUAAUCUUCUUGCCCUUCAGCAAUGGGAACUGCUUAAGACUUCCUUCUUGUCUUUAGAGGGGAAGAGAAGGAUAAAGACACGUGCGAAUGUGUGUGUGCUCAUAUGCAUGUAAACUCCUAUAAUUAGGAUGAGGAUGAAGUUGCCUUAUAUUUACAACUGAAGAGCAACAACAGCAGACAGCUUAUUGUUUCAUCAAAGCAAACCGCUUCUUUAUCCUGUUUCAUUGACUCUGUUCCAAUGUCCUGUUCUCAUGGUACUCUUGAUGAACUUAAGUCAGGCAGCCAACAGGACUUUGUGGUUCAGAGGAAAGAGAACUCAAGGACCUAAGAUGCUGCGAUCCACUUGCCUAUUUCCUUCUUUCCAUAAAUUGUGAAGGCUCUUCUCCUCAGAUGGGCAAACUGUAUCAACAGCUCUGCAAAAUGUUACAAAGCAGAGGAGUGAAUAUCAUUUUGCACCACCACAGAGCACAGCAGAGCCAUGCCAACACCUUCUCACUCCUAUUUUUCAAACUGAAAAAUGAGAAAUGAAAAAAGCAAGUCAUGCCUCUGGUUAAUUUCAUGGAAGUUUUGAGAAUGUUUAUUGUGAUUUUGGCUUUAAAAUCACUCUGAAGAAUGGAGAAUUUUCAAUCUUUUGCAACCUAUGUUACUGGUAUCAUUUGGGUGAUUAUUUUACAUAAAGUGCCUUGAGGCUUGAACUGAGGUGUGGUAUUGCAAGUUAUUAUUUAUAAAGCCGAUCCUAGACAAGAAUUUUGGAAAGGGCCAGGUGUUGGUAUAGUUUAAGGCUUUUUGCUCUUCAUCGCUUUGGAAUCACCUUUGCCUAUAAAAAGGUUUUUACCCUUGCCACUGAAUUCAGAGUUCUGAAUAUACACUGACAGUUUCUUAACUUCAACAAGUCAUUUGCUUUGCAGAUAAACGAACCAAUGAGAAUUUUCCAUUCUGCCAAAGAACCACACAUUUUUUACUUCUGUUUCUUCUAAUGCUUAAGUCUGUACCAUAUUUGUCAAGUACUGUUAUUCCAAAUACAACAUCAGUUUCAAACUGGAGAGAGAUCUAUAUCUUUGUUAUUGUGUUGAGCGUCUAAGGAGCACAGGAAUGGUCCAGGUAACCCAAGCAAGCUCUGUACAAACACACUGGUGUUUCCACAAAGAGUCUCCUGCUGCUGCGUACACCAACAUAGUGUCUACAAGCUGCCUGCUGCUUCAGCGCUUACCGAGAGGCACGCUUCCAUUGGGUUUGAGCCACCUCAAACAAGUACCAGGGAGGUGAGCCAAAUAAACUUGGAGAGCAACCACACAGUGAGAAGAAACCCCUUCGCAGACCGAGCAGAGAUGCACUUUCUCGUGGAAAAAAUCUCUGCAUGGCUGUGGGAAAGAAUGAGGAAGAGGGCAGGGGGUUCAGCUGGCAGCCUAGCAGAAAAAGCAGCAUCUAUCUGCUUUCCUUUUUCCUCCCUUUUCUCAUGUAAAGCAAACUAUAUCAUCUGCCUUGUAUCAAGAUGAGAAUCAACUGACCUGAGAAGGCAGAACCAGGCUUGACACCUCUACAAAUGCCAGCUGACAAAUUUCUGUGGCUUUCCAUUCAUUUCCAGCUGAGUCUUCCCUUCAAUCCACCAUGAGGGUUAACGAGGACAGAGGAUGUGCCUAAAAUUCUAGCACGUCAAUAUCACAGACAAUAGCACUGCACAACUACCAAUUUUCUCUCUGAAAACCCUAUUUUAUCCAAUCUCUUUCAAUAUGCCAUACUUCUCCUUCAGCGGGUCAGGUAUUCUAGGAACAAUUCAGUGUUCCAACAGCAUAAAUAUGUAUUUUCUCAUUCCCAUAUGUGUUUUAAGCAGGUAAGAAGAGGCUAUUUAAAGCCUGCUUAAAGUAAUGAAAUCAUACACAUUUUUUCCCAAGAAUACUUCCAUGUCACCUUCCUGGAUGGUACAGAAUAACCACUGCUAAAAGUUAUUUCAUUCUUACUGGUCAUAAUUGAAAGGCAAGGCCAGGCCAGUUAGAGCGGCUACUUUUAGAACUGAGGUGCUGGUAUACCUCACCUGGAGCAGGGAUUUCUAACAGUCUGCGGUUAAAGGAAGCCACAUUUCAGCUAGCACUAGUGUCAGCAGUCCUGCCUGAAAACAAGGGUGUGAACCAAUUUUCUCCCUGAGCACAAAGACAGCCCCCGCAGGCCUGGAAUACACUGAAAGGGCUCUGGAGCGGGAACAUCACCUUAAUACCUCCUCCUCCUCAGCGCAUCACACGAUAUUCCUGUCUGGGUUUUUAAAGCAGGCAUCUUUCCUAAGCAGCAAGUUACAUUAGGUAAAGUACACCUGUACACGUUCCUUUUGCCUAACUCUCUCCAAAUGGGAGAGUUGAAGGUUGUUUAUAAACUCUCAGAGCAUGGCUUGUUUGGCUGAACAAGACAUAGAUUUUUUUUUUUUUUUUUAAGAAGUAUUGACACUUCCAAAUUGCACCAACUCUCAAAUACCAAAGAGUAACUAGACCAGUUUUGACCCAGAACAAAAUGUUUAUAGGCAAGUUUGCAUUUAUGGACUGAGUGCUUGCUUGACUCCAUCCACAGACAUGUUUCAUCAGAUUCAUUUCUGUUGUACAAGCAGUUUGACCUCCUGAUUCAAAUUCAAAAUUGGGCAAAAUCCGAUCAUAGGGUUUUCACCAAAGAAGCUGAGGAAUCAACUUCAGGUAAGAUAUCUAGGCUUAGACUUAACAGAUCAAGAAAUAUAAAGAGAUAUAUCAAAUCAAAACACGACUUAAGCUUUCUGCUCAAAAAACAAAAGUUCAGAGUACAGUUUAGUCAACUUAAUUAUUACAGAUUUUACAGGUCAAUCUUUACAUGAUUGUCCUUACACCUGAAGACAAACUAAGAAUGAUACGCCAUCUGGACUGACAAUUACUUGGCCAAGCUAAUAACUGCAAAAAACGACAGAGAAGUACAUACAUAAAUUACCAUUUUUGUAGACUCAGAUACAAUGCAUAUUUCCCUAAAAUGUUUGGGUUUCCUUAAUUUAAAAUUGGGGUUUGCUUGCUUUAAAAUACAGUUGAGAAAAAAAAAAAACAAAACAGAAUAUAUGAAAAUCUUCCAGUGUUAAGGAAAAGAUUCCAAUACCUCACCAUUCAGUCCCCUCAUCUCACCACUAGCUACAUAAAUGGCACUUUCAUUUUAUCGUCUCAUAAUGCUUUCAUACACAUUUUAUUCCCCUCUGAAGCUUUUCUAAAGAUAGUAUCUUAUAUAUCAUACCUGCAACACAGUGUUAAUUGAGCCUCAGCCUCUGCCAGGUCCCUGAAACCUGCAGGAAUCCAAUACCAUUUUUAGUGGUCAGCAUAGGUGAUAAUGACUAGCCCUGGUUACAUCCAGCCAUCGCGCAAAGCAACAUUAUGCAAAGGCCAUUAACACAGCUGUCCCAGCAGCUCUUAAUCCUACAAACUGCAACAUCCUCAGCCCUUCUAUUCUUGGGUCUCUUCACAGUGGGUUCAGGACUUCUGCUUUCCUUGGCAUCCAGCACAGAUAUUUUCUUCUCUUCCAAAGGCACCAAAACACUGUGUACUCCCAGUGUAGAUCCAGCAAGACUGCACAGUUGGCCUAGCUCUGACCAGUGCCAUCCAUUUAUAACUAUUCAUCAGUUUAAAAUAACCUUGGGCAUGUUAAGCUAAUGUCCGCUCUCCCUAAAUCAGGCCUGGUUGUCUCCAAGCUCUGCAUUUCCCACCUUGCUCAGCUUCUUCUAUUUCCCCCCACAUAAAAAGAAAAUCAAAAUCCAACUCUUCCUCCUUUGGGGCCACAAUACAAUCACAUUCUUUUCUUUUGCCAAAUCACACCCCUCACUUCCUCACAAACUUCCUUUGCCUGUCCCAUUCUUCUAAGUCUCAGGGUUGAGUCCUAAAAGAUACUUUAAUUUAUGUCACAUAUACUCUUCUGACAAGCUGCCUCAAAUAUAAGCAAAAUAUUUCAUUCCAGCUUUCUUCUAACUCCAGAGAAUCUUGUACUGAGAUUUCUUGCUAUGAUUGCUAGUAAUGGAAGGCAGACUAAGUAGGUGAGUCAUGCUUCUUUUUGUCUGCAGAGAACUGAUCUUCUCCUAGACAUACUUUUCAUGUCAGCAAAGAGAGCAGCUGGAUACGUCACACACAUAGGCCAACCAGACACUCAAAAACCUUCAAUAAAGUUCCAGUAAGAAACACUGAAGCUGGCACAGCUUCAAUAUCCAACUAUCUCAAAUCAUCAUCACAGAAAUCUGAAUGGAAAUAAAGAACCAUUUAUAAAGAACAGAAAGGAAGAAAUUUCUGAAGGAGGUCUGGUGUCACUACACAUGCAGAACGAGAGGGAAAAAAACUGAGGAGAUGAGACAGCAAGUAAUUCAAUGUUUGGAAAUCCAAGAUAGUCACCUGAACUACUCCUAUCCUUUACAGCGUUCUAAAUUAACAGCGCCUGCUUGUAAAAAGAUCUGGCGACCAGUGCACAACAGCAAGUCACGGCCAGAACCUGGUAAAAUGAUCUGGAUACAUGAGAUGGUCAACUACACAGAAAAAGUUACAAAUUAUGUAAAUAUUAACACCAUUGCAUGGGACACCUGUAAUAUUGCGGCCUUCCAGUACUUGAAGGAAGUGCAUAAACAGGAGGGGGAACAGUUAUAUACGAGGGUGGAUAGUGCUAGGACAAGGGGGAAUGGUUUUAAACUGAGACAGGGGAGGUUUAGGUUAGAUAUUAGGAAGAAGUUUUUCAUGCAGAGGGUGGUAACACACUGGAACAGGAUGCCCAGAGAGGUUGUGGAUGCCCCAUCCCUGGAGGCAUUCAAGGCCAGGCUGGAUGUGGCUCUGGGCAGCCUGGUCUAAUGGUUGGUGACCCUGCCCAUGGCAGAGGGGUUGAAACUCAAUGAUCAUUGAGGUCCUUUUCAACCCAGGCCACUCUAUGAUUGUGUUGGGAUUUAAGUGAUCCCAUUCCCAAAGUACAUAGUGCAAAUAGGUCAGGUUAGAAGAGACAAGGGAAAUGCUCAGACAGAGAGAUGAAAAGACUGCAUAUGUUCAUAUGUUGAGAAAAAGUAGACAAGAACAUAGUGAAAUGUGAAAAUAACAGGAAAAAAAAUACAGUUAACCCUUUCUCAAAUAAACAUCAGAAACAAAGAUUAGCAAAACAAAAGACAGCAAAUCAAAAUCUGGUGAAAGAAGUAGGUUUUUAGCCAUCAGAACCAUCAGCUCAUGGAAAUUCUCCUAGGAGAUCAAUAAAUCCAGAAUCCAAAAAUGGAUUUCUACAGAUCUGGUCACUGGCAUGCAAAAAAAGAACAGAGACCUAAGUGUAAGAAUGUAACAUUGUAACAUUGAAGUUCUUGAGCUCCUGAAGACAGUUAGUUAGUUAUUUCCAUGUAAAGCCAAUUACUGGUUUCUGAGUGUUGACAAGAAAACUUCCUUAGGAACAACUAGAGAAAGACAGUUAUGAAGAACAAAUGGCCUUUGUAACUUGUUUUUCUUCUCAGUAUUCAUUCUCUGAACUAACUCAGACGUGACUGAUCUGAUCCCACGUUAAUGUCUUUAAAUACAAUAACUAUGCAGCAGCAAUUUCAAAAUGAGUGACUCGCAUCUUUCUUCAAAGACCAGGUCUUAAGACCCCUGCAUGCUUCUCUCUCUAGCUCAGGAAGCAUUUUCUCACUUACAAGCUAGUUGUGUACUGGAACUCCAGCCACCUGGAAUUAUUCUCAAGAAUCUGAGCUUUACCACCCUGAGCUGUUCCCCAUAACUUAUUAAUACAAUGAAGCCAAAUCCCAAGAGGAUGUGUUUCUCACAGCCUAUAGCUAUGGUCUUGGUGCUUAUCCACCUGCUCCUAGGAAAACGUUCCUAGCAGAAAGCAUGGAGUGGUUGAACCACAGUAUAUUCAUCCUGAGAGCCAGGGCAGAAGCUGCAACUGAUCUGUCCAAGCACAUCCUCAGUCUUUGUGUUUCCUUGCUAUCUCCUUACACACAGUGUCAACUUGCUUCUAAAAACGCUGGCCUGCUGCUGACUGGCACUAGCUCAGGAGCAAACUGAGGUAACACAGAGGGAUGAAAUGUCUGCUCUGGCCUUUUCCAAGUCACAACCAUCAUCCGAUAGCGACUAAUUCUGAUCCUGCAACACAAGAUGACUGUUUUCCUUGAUCCACUUUUCUCUGUCAUGAUCAGAUCAGGAGCAAAUCACUAGACAACGGACCAUUGUAGAGAGUGACAAUCAACACCAGUACUUACUGAGUGGUUUGAGGAUGCUGCUGCUUGUCUCAUCAGCAUUUUCUACGUCUGAUUUGUCAGAGUAAUUCUCAGAAAUUUUCUCCUUUUCUUUCUUUUCUUUGUGCCCAGGUCUUCUCCUAUGACGCCGCCUUCUCCUGUAGCUCUUCGGCACGUGGACCCCAAUGUAAACAGUGUGAUGACCUAAGGAAUAGGAAUACAACAAAUAUUGACUUUGCAUGCAGUUUGUGCACGAAUGAUCAGCAGAGCUCAUGCUGCAUUUCAUUCAAAUAGCCUUUGAAAACAUUAAUCUCUCAUGAGACACCUUGUCUGAGGACACCGAAAGAGACAGCAGUGGAUCAGCAACGGCAGUGUGUGAUGAUGAAUGAUCAGGCAGCCCACAGGCAGAGCUGUACGUGGGACAUGAGCCUGAGAAUAUCCUAUUCGAAAAUGCACUCCUAACCUUUCACUUACUUCAUUUAUCUGUGGGGUGUGUCAGGUCUGGUACUUUCCUUGCUGAGACUCUGCUUUUGUCAAUUCAAAUUCCACACACUCCUGAGGCCAGCUGUAAAGUUUGUUGAGUCGCUCACCUACUGUGCAAGUGAAAUGUUAUACCGAAAGCAUCUGAGGCUGCUUGACCAGCAUGGCCCUUCCUGACAACAACUUUAACAGAGCUAAUGGUAUUGCCCGAGGACUAUGCAAAGAAUGGAAUAACGAGCUCUAUUCAGAGAUAGGGCCAGAGGCUUAUGAAAAUAGCUCAUGCCCUAUGCAUAUAACACUGCCUCUCACACCCAUCCACAUGCAUGCUUCAUAGCCCAGUAAAAUUAUUUACGUACACAGAUCUCUAAGAGUAACUCUUUCAAAAAGCAAACACAGAGGACAAAUGAAAAAUUUUAAGUACAAACUGUUACUGAGUUACUGAAGCAUAGGAAAGCAUCUGAAAAAAGGCUCCUUAAAAACUGCAUUUUUUAUUCAUAAGGACUAAGAAAAUGAGAAGAGAAAAAAAUUCUCCAAUAAGACACACACUCAUCCUCAGAAUGGCACUGAAUGUGAUGCAUUUCGGCUCCAAAGUAAUUUGUCAGGUGGAAGUUGUAACAGAGACCAGAGGCUUAUGAAGGAACUGCUUCUCUCUGCUCAACCACAGACAUAGCAGUACUGGUGAUGGCCCUCAAAACGAAUCACAGCAUUUCUGGUGAUCAGAGUGCCACAGCAAAGUGCGUCAAAUAGCAGGGUGUUACUGAAAACGUCUCAGAGUGAAGUUACUCUUUAGCCAGUUCUAUCUAGCAUAAGGCAUCAAAAGGCUCACUGCAGAAACUCCACAGUGCACAGCCUAGGAGCCAGCAAAUUCACUGCUACGUGCACACCUCCUGAUGCUCUGGGCUGCUAACACUGUAUAUCCAUCCGGCACAGUACCAACAACUUGUCGUCUCAGGGAGCAGGACAAAAAAAGAAACAGAAAUCCAGGAUCGAGCAAAGUCCAAAGUGAGGCAGCACAACAAUGGCAGGAGAGCCAAAAUGGGCUCAAACCACAGAGGCCCUUGGAAACAGGCAGAGCAGUAAUGCCAAAGCUGGUGAGCAAAGCUUGCUACAGCAAGACUUGCAGAUCAGCAUCUGAAGACAGGACUCGGCUGUGGCACACAAAACCAGGAGAGCUAUUCCAGAAACUGGAAAUAUCAGCUGUAACACAGCAGAUGGCACAAAUGCUACGCAGGGAUAGAGAAAUCUUAUCUGAGCACAAGCAGCAGGUGUUAGGGUAGGGAUGGCCCCUGGGAAACAUAGGGCAGCGCUAUCUGUCCAAGGAAUUCCUACAGGAUCAAAUGCAAAAGCCAGAUGAAAAAGGAUGAGGUGAUUCUGUCUUUUUCUAUUUAGACAACAUCCUCCUUUGAAUCACUUUAAUUCUGUGGUCAGCUUGAUAAUACAAACACAUCAUAGUAAGCCCGUAGUCUUAAUGCUUUAAUAUGCUGCCAACAGAACUGGACAAUCUCUUUAAUCUUUUGACCACGUGUGCACAGUACAGAUUUUGGUGAUAUGAAACUAAGUUGCAUAUACGCAGGCCAACAUCUGCAUUGCUUAGCUGCUUUUCCCUAUUUUGCAUGGGAGAGCCUUAGUUAACGUCACUUUUUGUCCUUUUCCCUGCCUCCCCACCCCCUUUUUUUUUCCCUUUUCUUUUUAAUUUUUCUCUCACAGUCUGUUCAGAGUGACCAAUCAAGAUGUUUUCCUUUUCUGCA